UGAAAAUAUUCUUGGAGCAUUAAGCUCAAUUAUUAUGCUUAUGAGUACUGAAACAUUAAAUAGAGAUUGUAUAGUAAUUUUGACAACAAAUACUGAGCUUGUAUAAUAAAUGUUUAUCAAUUGGUAUGUCUUGAUAUUGGGUUUCACAGUACUUGGCAAGGUUUUAUCUGCCAUAUCAGAAAUUAUGCUAGAACCACUAAUAGAUAUAACAUGAAAUGGUUAUUUUAAUGUCAGAUUAUGAUAUUCCAAUGGCUAUUAAAAAUCAUUCCAAAGUUUUAGGAUGUUAUACUUAUUAAGGUAAACAUUUUGGUGACAAAAUACGUGAACUGAUAUUAAGAGAUCUUUGAUCUUAUUCAGAGCAAGGAAGAAUGGGUGCUUUAUUAAUACUAUAAAUGCUUCUAAUCAGAGUAUUAAAGUUAAAUCUUCAGAAAUUAUUCUAAUUUUAUAAGAUCUGCUGAAAAUCAAUAGCUCAUUUCUGAUGAAGAACUUAUUAGUAAAAACUAAAAGCUUUUAUAUGCUUUGCAUAUAAAGGACAUUAAACUGAAAAAGAUGAUUAUUUUAUUGAGUUUUUGAUUAAAAAUAUUUGUUAUUAUGGUCUAUCA
Rhopalosiphum padi (bird cherry-oat aphid) is the source of this 602-nucleotide long non-coding RNA. RefSeq lists it as uncharacterized. NCBI's taxonomy places the organism in Eukaryota, Metazoa, Arthropoda, Insecta, Hemiptera, Aphididae. The record is from RefSeq and is a predicted model, not a curated record. The transcript is spliced from 4 exons.